CAUGCUCCUUCCUACACACUGAGCAUCACAACACCCUGUACACAUUAAAAAAAUAUCCUCUUCGGUACACAACCAAAGUCAAUACUGCCCUCAGUCUGCCCACAGCCCUGCAUAUUUUUCAGUGUCUGGUAGUUUUGGAUCCAUGACUGAGGGGAUAUGUCUAUUCUUACCUUCAUGCAAGUUCAUGUACCUGCAUACACACACUGACUCCUGCUUCUCUCAUGAAAUAUGGUUAAAUUUUUGUUUUUCUUUUAGAUUUUUAUGAGCUCCCAAUGCACAGAUCAUGAAAAAACAAAUACAUCAUGGAAAUAACAAAUCCGUAAUCUGAGCUUUUAGGUGCUCAUUUCUUCCCCUCAGAACUACAGUGGCCAAAACGUUUUCUUAAUUUUGUCAAAUAAAAGCUUAGCUUGAGUGUGGGGUGGUUUUGGGUUUGUUUUUUUAAAAAAGCUGCUAUGUACCUCAACUGUUACUGAAUUCUGCUGUCUGUAAGCUUCUACAAUUGCUCAGUUACGUGGGACAAUGCCCAAUUAACACAAGACAAACUGUUCUCAUUAUAGUGCAAUAUAUAUAUUAUCAACUGUAUGUUUUCAUGUAUGUGGAAGCAUAUUUACAUGUGUCCACUAUAUGAAAUUCAAGCUCCAGACUGAGAACGUUCCUUAAGAAAAUUAAUAUUCAAUAUAUGCAGUGUAAUUUUGUUCUUUACACAGCUGUAACAAAUGCAAAGUUUCUACCAUAUACUUCCAAAACACAAUAUGCAACAGGACAGACAGACAGGAAAGAUUCAAUUAAUUCUUAGUAAAUAUGCUCUUUAUGAGCAUAUAAAAAACAAAAAACAAAACAACUUUCAACACAAAUCAGCCCUAUUUAUCUCAGUCUCAAAGGAAACCAGAGUUUUGCACUUGCAACUUGUCUCUUCUAAUGAGAGAUUAUUUCAUCUCUUGAUUACUCCUUUUUCUUGAGGAACAAGAUGAAAUUCAUGCAUAUUAGCAAGGUUUAUGCAAUAUAUAUAUAAAACCAACCAAGAUUAAGACACAUCUUAUGCACAUGAACACACGUCAACAGAACAGGAACAUAUAGGAUCUCCCUGUAGGUAUUCCUUACAAAAAAAAGCCUUAUAUAUUAACCAAGUCAAAGGAGGGAAAUACUGAUAACCUUUAAUGACUUAAGUCUUCUAACCACACCUAACCCUGUCUACCUGGUAAGUAAUUUUCACUUUACACAGUUCAACAGACACACAUUUAUCUUGAUAUAAGUAGCAAAAACCAAAAGCUUCUUCCCACUACCCACCCAUGCCCCUCUUUUCCUAACGUGCCGAUUCCAGUGACAAAAAGUAGGAAAGCAAUCAAAGGUAAAACCUUAAGUGCCUCUUCAGUUAAUAUUACUAGAGUAGUUUGAGUUCUGCCAAAAGUAUUCUGAGUUGAAAUGGCAGAACUGCACUGCAUAUGACAAGCUUGUAUUGGCAAGAAAUAUACAACUUAGUGACUGCAAAGUGAGUACUUCUUGUUACAAUCUCCUGAAGCAGGGAAAAAAAAAGAUGUCAUGCUUUGGCAAAAAUCCCCCCUGACCAAAAUGAUUUCCUAUAAAAAGUUCAAACAUAUUUUAAAACAUUUAGCUGCCACUUUUUCUUGGCCUGAGGUUUUCAAUUACUCAAACUCCUUGGGUCAAAAAACUCAACUGACAAGCUUGAGCUGUGUAGCAUGCCUCCGAAUUACCAAAAACUGAAAAAUCUGGGGGCGUACUGUAUGCUAAACUUUCAAAACAAACAUUAAUAAGAAUGAAAGAGAAAGGUGCUUCAGUUGAAAGUGAUAGAAACAAACCUAUCGUACAUAACAUUUUAAUAGAAGACUAGUAAGGUGACUUCUUUCACUACUGCAUCACUUAUCCGGUGCUUCUGUGGCAUUUGGAAAGCACAAACAUUCUGACAGAAAAAAAACACAGCUCUCAAGUAGAGACUUAAAA
This is a long non-coding RNA of Athene cunicularia (burrowing owl), 1959 nucleotides long. Lineage: Eukaryota; Metazoa; Chordata; Aves; Strigiformes; Strigidae. The record is from Ensembl.